UGGUAGCCUACGUUUUCUGUCGUUUGGUGGGUGUAUCAGAGAUGUUACCCAAUCAGCAGCGACAUGUAUAUAAACCGCACCGUAUUAAAAAUGCAGUGGGCAUAAUGGAUCGAACUAAAGUCCUUUACAAAUCAAUGGCCUUCUCAGCCAUAGACAUAUGUUCUCAGCUGCCAUAGUUGCAACGCUUGCGUAACACAACAGGGUGUUCAAUGCACCACCGUUGCCGUUUAAGUAAACAUUUUGUCGGGGCUGAACGCGCCCCUGAACUCAGUGGCUUAGCUUCUCUAGAUUUUUUUCAGCGGAAGCUUAUUGUUCAAAAUAACGUCUGAGCUGAGAAACAGCUGCAGCUUGAAUUUUAACGGAGUUAUAUUUUGGAUCACAAAAACGUUUUUACAGACAAAAAAAAAAAAAAAAAAAACAUACAGAUGCAAAUAUUAGGUACCUCGGAGGGGAAUGCAAUUCUGCAAAGCACAGAUGUGACUUUCAGCAGGAAUAUCACAGGAGGUCAGCAGCAUGCAUACCCCUGGUCUCAGCCCCGUACUGUGGAGAGGAGCACACCUAUAAGAACCUGAGCUGAUUCGUUAACAUCACCCAGGAGUCUCUGCUCACUGCACCAGUUGGUCUGGCUGAGACUUACUCCAGCUGUCGGCCGGAUCAAAUGCCACCUUAUUACCAAGGCGGCUUUUUGUUACCAAGGUAACAAGUCACCCGAUAUUUUGCAAGUAACUGCUACCUCGGUGUCAAUUUUCCUCCAGCCACCCUCGUGCUUUAUCACUGUUAAAG
Anguilla anguilla (European eel) is the source of this 783-nucleotide long non-coding RNA. RefSeq lists it as uncharacterized. The transcript is spliced from 3 exons. Lineage: Eukaryota; Metazoa; Chordata; Actinopteri; Anguilliformes; Anguillidae. The record is from RefSeq and is a predicted model, not a curated record.